GAAUCUUCCGCAAUGGACGACAGUCUGACGGAGCAACGCCGCGUGAGUGAUGACGGUUUUCGGAUCGUAAAGCUCUUUUGCCCGGGAAGAACGCUUGGGAGAGUACCUGCUCUCAACGUGGCGGUACCUGAGAAGAAAGCCCCGGCUACCUCCGUGCCACAAGCCGCGGUAAUACGUAGGGGGCAAGCGUUGUCCGGAAUUAUUGGGCGGCAAGCGCGCGCAGGCGGUUCAUUAAGUCUGGUGUUUAAGUCUAGGGCUCAACCCUGGUUCGCACUGGAAACUGUUGAACUUGAGUGCAGAAGAGGAAAGUGGAAUUCCACGUGUAGCGGUGAAAUGCGUAGAGAUGUGGAGGAACACCAGUGGCGAAGGCGACUUUCUGGGCUGUAACUGACGCUGAGGCGCGAAAGCGUGGGGAGCAAACA
Molecule: ribosomal RNA, 422 nt
Filed under: uncultured bacterium
Lineage: Bacteria
Description: partial 16S ribosomal RNA
Rfam family: Bacterial small subunit ribosomal RNA
Source: RNAcentral